GUGCACCAGGCGAGAAAACUUUACAAUGUGCGAAAGCACGAUAAGGGAACUCUGAGUGCCUCCUAAGGAGGCUGUUCUGAUGUCUAAAAAGCAACAGAAGUAAGGGCUGGGUAAGACCGGUGCCAGCCGCCGCGGUAACACCGGCAGCCCAAGUGGUAGCCACGUUUAUUGGGUCUAAAGCGUUCGUAGCCGGCCAGGUAAGUUCCUUGGUAAAUUUAGCCGCUUAACGGUUAAGCUUUCAGGGAAUACUGCUUGGCUUGGGACUGGGAGAGGUCAGAGGUACUCCGGGGGUAGGGGUGAAAUCUAUUAAUCCCUGGGGGACCACCGGUAGCGAAGGCGUCUGACCAGACCAGGUCCGACGGUGAGGGACGAAGGCUAGGGGCGCGAACCGGAUUAGAUACCCCCGUAGU
Molecule: ribosomal RNA, 410 nt
Filed under: uncultured microorganism
Description: bacterial SSU rRNA
Rfam family: Archaeal small subunit ribosomal RNA
Source: RNAcentral